UACGUAGGGUGCGAGCGUUAAUCGGAAUUACUGGGCGUAAAGCGUGCGCAGGCGGUCUGCUAAGAGAGGUGUGAAAUCCCCGGGCUUAACCUGGGAACUGCGCUUCUAACUGGCAGGCUAGAGUGUGGCAGAGGGGGGUGGAAUUCCACGUGUAGCAGUGAAAUGCGUAGAGAUGUGGAGGAACACCGAUGGCGAAGGCAGCCCCCUGGGCUAACACUGACGCUCAUGCACGAAAGCGUGGGGAGCAAACAGG
RNAcentral lists this ribosomal RNA (253 nucleotides) under uncultured bacterium. RNAcentral's name for it is "partial 16S ribosomal RNA". It matches the Rfam family "Bacterial small subunit ribosomal RNA", at positions 524 to 776 of the family's 1533-position model. The record is from RNAcentral.